GACCGCGUAGCUCAGUUGGCAGAGCAUUGGGCUAGUAUUCCAAAGGUAGGUUCGAUUCCCACCGUGGUCA
This is a non-coding RNA of Paramuricea clavata, 70 nucleotides long. The record is from the annotation of a GenBank genome assembly. NCBI's taxonomy places the organism in Eukaryota, Metazoa, Cnidaria, Anthozoa, Malacalcyonacea, Plexauridae.